RNAcentral lists this ribosomal RNA (253 nucleotides) under uncultured bacterium. RNAcentral's name for it is "partial 16S ribosomal RNA". It matches the Rfam family "Bacterial small subunit ribosomal RNA", at positions 524 to 776 of the family's 1533-position model. The record is from RNAcentral.
CACGUAGGAGGCGAGCGUUGUCCGGAAUCAUUGGGCGUAAAGAGCGCGCAGGCGGCCCGGCAAGUCGGGUGUGAAAUCCCGGGGCUCAACCCCGGGACUGCAUUCGAUACUGCCGGGCUAGAGGUAGGUAGGGGAGAUCGGAAUUCCUGGUGUAGCGGUGAAAUGCGCAGAUAUCAGGAGGAACACCAAUGGCGAAGGCAGCUCGCUGGAACGGUACUGACGCUGAGGCGCGAAAGCGUGGGGAGCAAACAGG